RNAcentral lists this long non-coding RNA (1123 nucleotides) under Fukomys damarensis (Damara mole-rat). RNAcentral's name for it is "lncRNA (ENSFDAG00000032995.1)". Lineage: Eukaryota; Metazoa; Chordata; Mammalia; Rodentia; Bathyergidae. The record is from RNAcentral.
GGGCUGGAGACAAUUAGAUGUGAUUACAAAAGGGCCUCCGUGUCCUUUUCUCUCUGCAGCAGAUGUUCCUGUCAUGCGGUCUGAAGAAGUCCAGAUGUGUUUGCUCAGGAUGUGGAGCUGGGGCCUCCCAGGAGCAGGGAUGAAAGAGUAGCUACCCAAGAGCAGCUGGUACACAGAGAGGCCGGUGCAAAGCAGGGCUGGGGCUGGAGGCCUUGAGACCAUGGGGAGGGCGGGGCUGUCUGCAGAGAGAAGGAGCCAGAGCCAGGCGGGCCUAGGGUUUGGGCCUGGGAUGCCGCUGAGUCACUGACCCAUGUGCUGAGGACUGGACAGUCCAGCCCUUGGCUCUGAGCCGGAGUACAGCGCACUGUGGGUUGCACUAGAUGGCGAGCCCCAUGAGAACAGGUAUCUUCUUGCUGGCUGCUGAAUGCAGGACACCGAGCACAGUACAAAUGGUGCAGGAAGGAAACAAGGGAAGGAGGCAGCAAGGUUUCUCUGCCUCAGCCAGCAACGCCUCACGGACCUAGCUGCCAAGCUAAAACCCUCCUGACCCCCCUCCACUCCUCUCUUCCUCUCAUGGCCCUCCCUGAAGGCUGUACUCUCCAAAUGGAUCUAGAGGUCAGUCAUGUCCGGGACACUCCUCUGUUGUCGCACGGUCCACGCUGCCUGCCUCACCAGCCUCCAGCUGCUCACUCCUUCUGCUCGAUCUUCUUCCAUGACCGUCUCUGCACUCCACCCAUGCAUGUGUUUGUCUUCAGCUAUGUUCUCUGUCUUCCUCCCCAGGAGAACGGAAGUCCCCCGUGUCUGUGGCCUGUGUCUCUGCUGGCCUCUCCUGCUGUGUCCCUCAAAGGGUGCCUGGCACAGGAUCAAUAUGAAGGCCUGCCUCACAGCCCUGGAUCCAUGUUCCGACACACAACAGCCGCUCGAUGUCUAACGGUGAAUGAAUGGAUGGGUGAAUAAGAAAGAAAGAGCAGGUUGGUGAACCCCAACAAAAACUGGUGGAAACUUCUGGCUGGAUACACCCAAAGCCAGGUGAGAAUGAAUAACCCAGGGGAAAGACUCAUCUGGCCCCAGCUAACAGAGAGGCAGACACGCAGGUGGAGGACACGAGUGGGUACCUACGCCA